AGAACUAGACGCGGGAGCCCGGAGCACCGGGCUGAGAGGGAGGCUGGGGCGCCUCCGACCGUCCGAACCUGAUCCGGGUCAUUCCGGCGAAGGGAGUGCAGCAUCAUGGUGC
RNAcentral lists this non-coding RNA (112 nucleotides) under Streptacidiphilus jiangxiensis. Its description in RNAcentral is "TPP sequence". It matches the Rfam family "TPP riboswitch aptamer (THI element)". From Rfam's summary of the family: Vitamin B(1) in its active form thiamin pyrophosphate (TPP) is an essential coenzyme that is synthesised by coupling of pyrimidine and thiazole moieties in bacteria. The previously detected thiamin-regulatory element, thi box was extended, resulting in a new, highly conserved RNA secondary structure, the THI element, which is widely distributed in eubacteria and also occurs in some archaea. Lineage: Bacteria; Bacillati; Actinomycetota; Actinomycetes; Kitasatosporales; Streptomycetaceae. The record is from Rfam by way of RNAcentral.